CUCCUUUCUCCUUUCUCCUUUCUCCUUUUUCUUUCUUUUUCUUUUUCUAUUAUACCACACAAAUUUCUUGCACUGUCAAACAGCAAACAAAAGGGAACAUUUACAACUUAUAACUCUGCAGCCAGGGCACAUAAUCUGAGCCCAGAGCACUUGGAGGGACUGAAUAGGAGAUAUGACAGUGUUGUGUAAAGAAUGUGAUACCUCACUGUAGCACCUCACUUUCCCAGGAAUUACUUCCUUAUGUUGUGUGAAAGCCUUGAAGUGAACACUGGGUGCUAUGGUGCCUGUUAUCCCAUAAACAGCUCUCUUCCUUCCACACAGGUCUGAUCCAAGAUUUCUGAAUGGUGUUGGAGGAACCAUGCUUCUGGAAAUUAUUUGAGAAAUGAAGCUGUGAUUUCUCAUUGUAUUUGCAUUGUCACCAGUAAAGAAAACGUUAUGAAGGACUGGGAUGGGAAUGGGAUGUUAUGAUGGAAUGGGGAGAGCAGUCUGCCAUUUUUUUUUCUCUCUCUCCCAGUGGUGCCAUUUUUUUGAGGCUAACAACAGGAAGGUAGUAAGAAUCUAUUUCAGUCACCUGAAGUCAGCAGAUGUGACAAUUCACUGAGCGAGCAGAGCGUCUGUGUGAGAAGGUGCUGCAUUCGCAGUCAGUUUUCAGUGCAGAACUUUGCUGGAAUUUCUCACUCCCAGGAAGAGAUGACUGUUUUGAGGAAAGGCACGUGUUUUCUCCCCCAGGAGCAAGAGCUGUCCAGAUAGAGGAAGGUGCUGCUGUACCUCGAUAAUGAGCCUAAUGGCAAAGCCUUGUGAACAUGAGAUAAAUGUGUUGUGAAUGUAUGGACAUGACUGGAGCUGAGAAACGGCUCAUUCAGCUUCUUUUUCUGUGCUAAAAACAGUGUAAAACUCUUCCUCUGUCCUGGAGAAUAACUGGUGCUCUUCUCAAAGACAACUCCAGCUGAACUUAAUGUGCCGUGUCUCAAUGAAGAGAUAAAAUGAAAGAUGCGGCUGAGAAGACAACCAGCAAAACCUUCAGCUUGAAAGAAAAGCAGAAGUCUACACUGAGUACGCCCCACUGCUGCUUCAUUAACAAACAUUAACAAAUACGCUUUAUUUACUGUUAUUCUACAUUAUUGAGAGCUCACUGGUGCAGCAGCCCUGUUCAAAUUAACUGUGGAGUUCUCAGAACUAAAAGAAAUACCUUUUGAAAGGAAGCUGAGGCCAACGUGCUGCUUACAACUCGACACCACUUCAGCCCAAAUUUCAAGUCAAAUAUCCACUCAGCAGGAGAUAUAUUCAUUUUAAAUUAAACAUGCCAGGAAUUGGACUUCAAAGGGAACAAGAUGAAUUUGUUGUUUCCACAGUGGAAAUCCCUCUGUCUCCAUCGGUGAAUGUUGGCUCUGUGUUUUUCCUACUGAAAUUAAUUGCUAUCCAUGCUAAACUAGGGCAAUUAGGGCCUGAAAGCUGCUGCGCAGUGGGACUUUAGUGGGGGAAUGAGGAUGGAGACAGGGGAAAAAAGGAAAAAAGGGUGACCAGCAGUAAGCCAGCCUUUAUCAGGCACGGAGAAACAACAGGGCCAGGAGAGAGCUCAGGAAAAGGAGGUCUGGUCUGGGUCUUUUAUUAUUUAUUUCUUGCUAUAGUUGCAGAACACAGGAAAUCACUUACAUUUUAAAUUAAACCUUUGUUUGCCCUUUAUGUGAUCUUGAGAUGUGUGAGAAGGAAGUGUGAAUGUAUUAGUAAAAAAUAAAUUGAUUUGCACCACAGAGUAAGCUUUCAUAAAUAAAGAGCUGUGUUUUGCUUGUCUUA
Molecule: long non-coding RNA, 1794 nt
Organism: Coturnix japonica (Japanese quail)
Lineage: Eukaryota; Metazoa; Chordata; Aves; Galliformes; Phasianidae
Source: RefSeq, a predicted model, not a curated record